This 502-nucleotide ribosomal RNA is filed under the name Plectosphaerella sp. bo10. RNAcentral describes it as "eukaryotic LSU rRNA". The stretch from base 157 to 310 matches the Rfam family "5.8S ribosomal RNA". The record is from RNAcentral. Lineage: Eukaryota; Fungi; Ascomycota; Sordariomycetes; Glomerellales; Plectosphaerellaceae.
AGCGGAGGGAUCAUUACUGAGUACUACACUCUCUACCCUGUUGUGAACUAUUAUACCUGUUGCUUCGGCGGCGCCCGCGAGGGUGCCCGCCGGUCUCAUCAGAAUCUCUGUUUUCGAACCCGACGAUACUUCUGAGUGUUCUUAGCGAACUGUCAAAACUUUUAACAACGGAUCUCUUGGCUCCAGCAUCGAUGAAGAACGCAGCGAAACGCGAUAUGUAAUGUGAAUUGCAGAAUUCAGUGAAUCAUCGAAUCUUUGAACGCACAUGGCGCCUUCCAGUAUCCUGGGAGGCAUGCCUGUCCGAGCGUCGUUUCAACCCUCGAGCCCCCGUGGCCCGGCGUUGGGGAUCUGCCACGGCAGGCCCCUAAAACCAGUGGCGGACCCGAAGGCCCUCUCCUUUGCGCAGUAGCAUCAGCCUCGCAUUGGGAUCCCUCGGCGUCCUGCCUCUAAACCCCCCACAAGUCCGCUCCGGCGGCACCAAGGUUGACCUCGGAUCAGGUAG